AUUUGUUUGACUAUUCCUCCUGCGCCCGAGCGGCUAUACGGGGAUCUAAUCCAGUCUUGCAGAGACCACCAGAAAGAAAGCGCGCAUCGUUGUUUUUUUUCCUCGAUUUCUCGUCGUCCCCCGCUGAACAGCCACCGAAAUCCAGCGCUGAUACUCGUACAUCAAAACUUUCUUAUUUGGCUUUUGCGUGUGGCUAAACCGCAGGGCGCCAAGCCGUCGCGAGUCCCUAUAUUCAACGAUUCCGCUCUGCAGAGGCGGCAAUUUACGCGAAAGUUGCAGCGAAGAGGGCCAAAAACAAUCGGAGCUGACUUCGCCGCCGCGGACGGACAUAAAAGUUCGUCCCUUCCGGACACACGGCGCGGCCAUAUAGCUGGGGUUAUCCAUAUUCACAGAUUUCAUUGUGAGCUAUCUCGCCAGUGCAUCGCGGAGCGUCUGCAAUUUUUCAGAAAUUCUUGGUGAAUACGUGAAAAAAGUAACCCCGCGAUGGCCGAAUGAUAAGGCCAUUCAUCGUGGUGUCAGUCGGAGAAAAAAUUUCGGAAAACUAGGACGACGAACAAAGAGCAAUGCUGGCAAGUAUACGCUCGCGGCUCUUUAAUUAACGGCAACAAUAAUGUGGACGGGCUUUUCUCUGGAAUUGAAAAAUUUGAAUGAACGAGAAGAUGGAUUACGUCUAUUAUGUGCAUUUUCCCUCGCGCGCGUUUUAGUUUUCGUACUUUUUAUUCGCGGAGAUCAUUUCAAUUAAACAACAUUUUCCAUGGC
Long non-coding RNA from Nasonia vitripennis (jewel wasp), 759 nucleotides. RefSeq lists it as uncharacterized. The record is from RefSeq and is a predicted model, not a curated record. The transcript is spliced from 3 exons. NCBI's taxonomy places the organism in Eukaryota, Metazoa, Arthropoda, Insecta, Hymenoptera, Pteromalidae.